This is a non-coding RNA of 69 nucleotides. It matches the Rfam family "ASpks TB sRNA". The record is from Rfam.
CUUCACCGAGCCCAGCAGCAGCGGGAGUUCACGCUCCUGCCCGUACGUCGCCAGCAACGCCUGCGCCUC